Molecule: ribosomal RNA, 544 nt
Filed under: uncultured bacterium
Lineage: Bacteria
Description: bacterial SSU rRNA
Rfam family: Bacterial small subunit ribosomal RNA
Source: RNAcentral
GGAAUCUUGCGCAAUGGGCGAAAGCCUGACGCAGCAACGCCGCGUGCGGGAUGAAGGCCUUCGGGUUGUAAACCGCUUUUAACAGGAACGAAAAUGACGGUACCUGCAGAAUAAGGUGCGGCCAACUACGUGCCAGCAGCCGCGGUGACACGUAGGCACCAAGCGUUGUCCGGAUUUAUUGGGCGUAAAGAGCUCGUAGGCGGUUCAGGUAGUCGGGUGUGAAAACUCUGGGCUCAACCCAGAGACGCCACCCGAUACUCCUGUGACUAGAGUUCGGUAGGGGAGCGGGGAAUUCCUAGUGUAGCGGUGAAAUGCGCAGAUAUUAGGAGGAACACCGGUGGCGAAGGCGCCGCUCUGGGCCGAUACUGACGCUGAGGAGCGAAAGCGUGGGUAGCAAACAGGAUUAGAUACCCUGGUAGUCCACGCCGUAAACGGUGGGCACUAGGUGUGGGUUCCAACCAACGGGAUCCGCGCCGUCGCUAACGCAUUAAGUGCCCCGCCUGGGGAGUACGGCCGCAAGGUUAAAACUCAAAGGAAUUGACGG